Molecule: ribosomal RNA, 253 nt
Filed under: uncultured bacterium
Lineage: Bacteria
Description: partial 16S ribosomal RNA
Rfam family: Bacterial small subunit ribosomal RNA
Source: RNAcentral
UACGUAGGGCGCGAGCGUUGUCCGGAUUUAUUGGGCGUAAAGAGCUCGUAGGCGGCUUGUCGCGUCGUCCGUGAAAACUUGUGGCUUAACCACAGGCUGGCGGUCGAUACGGGCAGGCUGGAGUUCGGUAGGGGAGACUGGAAUUCCUGGUGUAGCGGUGAAAUGCGCAGAUAUCAGGAGGAACACCGAUAGCGAAGGCAGCUCGCUGGGACGGUACUGACGCUAAGGCGCGAAAGCGUGGGGAGCGAACAGG